AUUGAACGCUGGCGGCAGGCUUAACACAUGCAAGUCGAGCGGAAACGGAGGUAGCUUGCUACCAGACGUCGAGCGGCGAACGGGUGAGUAACGCGUAGGAAUCUACCUAGUAGAGGGGGAUAGCCCGGGGAAACUCGGAUUAAUACCGCAUACGCCCUAAGGGGGAAAGCAGGGGAUCUUCGGACCUUGCGCUAUUAGAUGAGCCUGCGUCGGAUUAGCUAGUUGGUAAGGUAAAGGCUUACCAAGGCGACGAUCCGUAGCUGGUCUGAGAGGAUGAUCAGCCACACUGGAACUGAGACACGGUCCAGACUCCUACGGGAGGCAGCAGUGGGGAAUAUUGGACAAUGGGGGCAACCCUGAUCCAGCCAUGCCGCGUGUGUGAAGAAGGCC
Molecule: ribosomal RNA, 390 nt
Filed under: uncultured bacterium
Lineage: Bacteria
Description: bacterial SSU rRNA
Rfam family: Bacterial small subunit ribosomal RNA
Source: RNAcentral